ACUCCUACGGGAGGCAGCAGUGGGGAAGUAUUGCACAAUGGGCGCAAGCCUGAUGCAGCCAUGCCGCGUGUAUGAAGAAGGCCUUCGGGUUGUAAAGUACUUUCAGCAGUGAGGAAGGUGGGUAUGUUAAUAGCAUAUUCAUUUGACGUUAGCUGCAGAAGAAGCACCGGCUAACUCCGUGCCAGCAGCCGCGGUAAUACGGAGGGUGCGAGCGUUAAUCGGAAUUACUGGGCGUAAAGCGCAUGCAGGUGGUUUGUUAAGUCAGAUGUGAAAGCCCGGGGCUCAACCUCGGAAUUGCAUUUGAAACUGGCAAACUGAGUACUGUAGAGGGGGGUAGAAUUUCAGGUGUAGCGGUGAAAUGCGUAGAGAUCUGAAGGAAUACCGGUGGCGAAGGCGGCCCCCUGGACAGAUACUGACACUCAGAUGCGAAAGCGUGGGGAGCGAAACAGGAUUAGAUACCCCUGGUAGGCGUAG
This 474-nucleotide ribosomal RNA is filed under the name uncultured bacterium. RNAcentral describes it as "bacterial SSU rRNA". It matches the Rfam family "Bacterial small subunit ribosomal RNA", at positions 335 to 799 of the family's 1533-position model. The record is from RNAcentral.